Molecule: unclassified non-coding RNA, 253 nt
Filed under: plant metagenome
Description: partial contains small subunit ribosomal RNA, internal transcribed spacer 1, and 5.8S ribosomal RNA
Rfam family: 5.8S ribosomal RNA (bases 206-253)
Source: RNAcentral
UUUCCGUAGGUGAACCUGCGGAAGGAUCAUUAAUGUGUUUGGGCCUCACGGCUCUUCAUUCCGACGCUGUGCGCCUUCGGGCUGCACGCUGAGGGAGCAUAUAUCCACCCCUGUGCACACACACGGUGGCGAGCUGGGUAACGGCUCGCCGCUGAUCUUUACACACGUCUAAAAGUCAUUGUAUGUUUAUUUGAGAUAAAAACACAACUUUCAGCAACGGAUCUCUUGGCUCUCGCAUCGUGAAGAACGCAGC